RNAcentral lists this ribosomal RNA (868 nucleotides) under uncultured bacterium. RNAcentral's name for it is "bacterial SSU rRNA". It matches the Rfam family "Bacterial small subunit ribosomal RNA", at positions 28 to 896 of the family's 1533-position model. The record is from RNAcentral.
GAUGAACACUAGCGGCAGGCCUAACACAUGCAAGUCGAGGGGUAACAGGGUAGCAAUAUCGCUGACGACCGGCGCACGGGUGAGUAACGCGUAUGCAACCUUCCUUUAACUGGGGGAUAGCCCGGAGAAAUUCGGAUUAAUACCCCAUAACAUCAUGAGAAGGCAUCUUUUUAUGAUUAAAGCUCCGGCGGUUAAAGAUGGGCAUGCGUGCCAUUAGCUUGUUGGUGAGGUAACGGCUCACCAAGGCUACGAUGGUUAGGGGGUCUGAGAGGAUGAUCCCCCACACUGGUACUGAGACACGGACCAGACUCCUACGGGAGGCAGCAGUGAGGAAUAUUGGGCAAUGGGCGCAAGCCUGACCCAGCCAUGCCGCGUGAAGGAUGAAUGCCCUAUGGGUUGUAAACUUCUUUUGUACGGGACGAAACUCCUGGUCGUGACCGGGAUUGACUGUACCGUGCGAAUAAGCAUCGGCUAACUCCGUGCCAGCAGCCGCGGUAAUACGGAGGAUGCAAGCGUUAUCCGGAUUCAUUGGGUUUAAAGGGUGCGUAGGCGGAAUAAUAAGUCAGUGGUGAAAGCCUGCGGCUUAACCGUAGAAAUGCCAUUGAUACUGCUAUUCUUGAGUAUAGUUGAGGUGGGCGGAAUGUGUAAUGUAGCGGUGAAAUGCUUAGAUAUUACACAGAACACCAAUUGCGAAGGCAGCUCACUAAGCUGUUACUGACGCUGAGGCACGAAAGCGUGGGGAGCAAACAGGAUUAGAUACCCUGGUAGUCCACGCCGUAAACGAUGAUCACUCGUUGUUGGCGAUACACCGUCAGCGACUGAGCGAAAGCAAUAAGUGAUCCACCUGGGGAGUACGGCGGCAACGCUG